Molecule: RNA transcript, 547 nt
Organism: Mastomys coucha (southern multimammate mouse)
Lineage: Eukaryota; Metazoa; Chordata; Mammalia; Rodentia; Muridae
Gene name: cytochrome c oxidase assembly factor 5 pseudogene
Exons: 1
Source: RefSeq, a predicted model, not a curated record
CGUGUUCUGGUGUGGUGAGGUCGGUGAGCCCCACCAUGCCCCGGUAUUAUGAGGACAAGCCAGAGGGCGGCGCGUGCUCGGGCGUGAAGGAGGAUCUGGGUGCAUGUCUGCUGCAGUCGGCCUGUGUGCUCCAGGAAGGAAAAUCCCCACGGCAGUGUCUGAAGGAAGGCUAUUGCAGAGCUCUGCAGUAUUCCUUUUCUGAGUGUAAAAGAUCAAUGUUGGAUGCCAGAUCAAGAUUCAGAGGAAGAAAAGGAUAUUGAUAACAUUAUGCUGAAUGCAAGAUGAAAAUUACCCAGGAUUUUCUCUGGUCCUCAGCAGAAAAGAACCAAAAUGGGAAGCACAGUAGCUCCUGCAUCUGUUCGACGCCUGGGCCAGGUGUUCCUCCCAAGAACACCAGAGAAAAUGGAUCAUUGCUCUUUCUGAAUGAUUCUGCUGGUUGACGUCAUUUAUAGAAGAUCCAUGGGACUAAACAACUAUGAGCUAAGAACUUAAUAUGUUUUGGGAAUUGCUUAAUGGAGAGAUUAUGUCCAAGGAUGACUCUUCAAUC